CUACGGGUCGCUGCAGUGGGGAAUUUUGGACAAUGGGCGCAAGCCUGAUCCAGCAAUGCCGCGUGCAGGAUGAAGGCCUUCGGGUUGUAAACUGCUUUUGUACGGAGCGAAAAGGCCCUCUCUAAUACGGGGGGCUCAUGACGGUACCGUAAGAAUAAGCACCGGCUAACUACGUGCCAGCAGCCGCGGUAAUACGUAGGGUGCGAGCGUUAAUCGGAAUUACUGGGAGUAAAGCGUGCGCAGGCGGUUUUGUAAGACAGAUGUGAAAUCCCCGGGCUCAACCUGGGACCUGCAUUUGUGACUGCAAGGCUGGAGUACGGCAGAGGGGGAUGGAAUUCCGCGUGUAGCAGUGAAAUGCGUAGAUAUGCGGAGGAACACCGAUGGCGAAGGCAAUCCCCUGGGCCUGUACUGACGCUCAUGCACGAAAGCGUGGGGAGCAAACAGGAUUAGAUACCCGUGUAGUC
This 464-nucleotide ribosomal RNA is filed under the name uncultured bacterium. Its description in RNAcentral is "partial 16S ribosomal RNA". It matches the Rfam family "Bacterial small subunit ribosomal RNA", at positions 339 to 795 of the family's 1533-position model. The record is from RNAcentral.